CCUACGGGGGGCAGCAGUGGGGAAUAUUGGGCAAUGGGCGCAAGCCUGACCCAGCAACGCCGCGGGAAGGAAGAAGGCUUUCGGGUUGUAAACUUCUUUUCUCAGGGACGAAGCUAGUGACGGUACCUGAGGAAUAAGCCACGGCUAACUACGUGCCAGCAGCCGCGGUAAUACGUAGGUGGCAAGCGUUAUCCGGAUUUACUGGGUGGAAAGGGCGUGUAGGCGGGACUGCAAGUCAGGUGUGAAAACCACGGGCCCAACCUGUGGCCUGCAUUUGAAACUGUAGUUCUUGAGUACUGGAGAGGCGGACGGAAUUCCUAGUGUAGCGGUGAAAUGCGGAGAUAUUAGGAGGAACACCAGUGGCGAAGGCGGUCUGCUGGACAGCAACUGACGCUGAGGCGCGAAAGCGUGGGGAGCAAACAGGAUUAGAUACCCGAGUAGUC
Molecule: ribosomal RNA, 443 nt
Filed under: uncultured bacterium
Lineage: Bacteria
Description: partial 16S ribosomal RNA
Rfam family: Bacterial small subunit ribosomal RNA
Source: RNAcentral